Long non-coding RNA from Labeo rohita (rohu), 417 nucleotides. RefSeq lists it as uncharacterized. The transcript is spliced from 3 exons. NCBI's taxonomy places the organism in Eukaryota, Metazoa, Chordata, Actinopteri, Cypriniformes, Cyprinidae. The record is from RefSeq and is a predicted model, not a curated record.
CGGAAAUGACAUCUCCAGCGCUGCUCUGGUCGCCAGUGUAUUCGCAGGUCCUUUAUAAUCAUGCUGACCUUUGGUGACCCUGUAGCUGCGGAGCAUUGUGUCUGAGUCCAGGGCAUGUGAAGGCCAAGGGAAUGAAAUAAAGAGCUACGAAACCUUUGCUGUUCAGAGAUGGAGGGGCUUUUCUUAAGAGUUAUUACCUCAGCAGAAAAACCAGGGAUGUAAUCGAACACCACAAGGACAAACAGAGGCAGAGAGAGAGAAAGGGAGAGAACAUUCGACAGAACCAUGACUCCGGACCCCUGGGAUGCCCUCCUGCUGAAGAUGUGAGGCUGUGAGGUUAUUUUAAGCCAUUCGUUGGACCUCGUUCUGAAUGCAAAGAGAGCCCAGGGGUAAAGAGACGAGGUGAGAGGAGAAAGA